Nerophis lumbriciformis (worm pipefish) is the source of this 3886-nucleotide non-coding RNA. The record is from RefSeq and is a predicted model, not a curated record. NCBI's taxonomy places the organism in Eukaryota, Metazoa, Chordata, Actinopteri, Syngnathiformes, Syngnathidae.
AUAUAUAUAUAUAUAUAUAUAUAUAUAUAUAUAUAUAUAUAUAUAUAUAUAUAUAUAUAUGUAUGCUCAAACAACAUCCUUUAAAAAAAAACCGAUAUGGGUCAAACGAUACUGAAGCAUCGACGCAUUAUGAAAAACAAGGAGUGAUACUGUGUCCUCCAUACCUUGAUGUGUGUCACUUUAAGAAAAAAAAUCAUGUCGUUACAAAUCGAUACAACUCCUGUGUCGUUUGACUGUGAAGCGUCACACUGUCAGAAAACUUAUUUUGGCUGACAAGUGACAGUUGAAAGUAUUCAGAGGAGUGGUGUGUCGUGUUUGACAUCGGUUUUUGUCGCCAUCAUCGAUGUAAAUGGAAUUAAGUGCAGCUGAGAUAGUCUUCAGCCCCCCGUGACUCCGAAAGGGACAAGCGGUAAAAAAUAGGUGAGUAGAUGGAAAAUUUCCAAAGUGUGGGGUCAUUUUGAUCUUAUAUCGGCAAAUAAUGUAAAUGCUCUUUUUAUGUUUACUAUUUGGUUCAUUGACGAGAGCGUCGCAUUUCAUCAUCCUUUCGGCACAGCUGUUUGUUUAAAAAAACAAAAUCGUCUGCUAUUAAUUUUAUUUGUUGGUGUAAUGUAGUCACUUUCUUAACCCAGCAGAUGCCACCAUUAUGAAACCCCAAGACAGUGUCAGUGCAUCGUCAAUACAGCCAGUGGGUGUGCCACACACUCCCCAUUCAUGGCCAGUUAUGGAGAUAGACGAUGCAAUCGCACACAACCCAACACGAAAUACUGCCGCUAAUGUUGGUUCAGAAGGCCUCCGGCAGAAUUCAUCCAGCGCUGGCAACUCGCUAGCUGAAUUCUGAUUGGAUAAAAGCUGUGACGGCACACCACUGGAUUGGGGUACGUCGUUUUUUAAUUUAGAAUAAUGUUAAGGUCUCUCGUAUUCAUGCUGGCAUUUAAGACGAGGCGAGUUUAUUUUUUAGAAACGAUUCGUACACAGGGCAAUUCAAAGUGCUUUACAGAAAGUUACAAGAAGGCAAAAAUAAUAGUAAAGACAAUCAUAAUUCCAAUCAAAAAAGUGUCGAUAAAAUACUUGUGGUUGUCAUUUGCACAAUUAAGUGUUUUCAGCUCCGAUUUGAACAUUGCCAACGACCUGUCUUACAUCUUCUGGAAGACAAUUCCAGAUUUUAGGAGGAUAAAACUGAAACGCAGUAUCACCGUGUUUAGUCCGUACUCUAGGCGCCAGCAGGAGACCACCACCCUGAGGUUCUAAGAGCUGGAGAUGGUUCUAACAUGUUAGAUACCAUAUUUUUCGGAGUAUAAGUCGUUCCGGAGUAUAACUCGCACCGGCCGAAAAUGCAUAAUAAAGAAGGAAAAAAACAUAUAUAAGUUGCACUGGAGUAUAAGUCGCAUUUUUUGGGGAAAUGUAUUUGAUAAAAGCCAACACCAAGAAUAGACAUUUGAAAGGCAAUUUAAAAUAAAUAAAGAAUAGUGAACAACAGGCUGAAUAAGUGUAUGUUAUAUGAGGCAUAAAUAACCAACUGAGAACGUGCCUGGUAUGUUAACGUAACAUUUUAUGGUAAGAGUCAUUCAAAUAACUAUAACAUAUAGAACAUGCUAUACGUUUACCAAACAAUCUGUCACUCCUAAUCGCUAAAUCCCAUGAAAUCUUAUACGUCUAGUCUCUUACGUGAAUGAGCUAAAUAAUAUUAUUUCAUAUUUUACGGUAAUGUGUUAAUAAUUUCACACAUAAGUCGCUCCUGAGUAUAAGUCGCACCCCCGGCCAAACUAUGGAAAAAAACUGCGACUUAUAGUCCGAAAAAUACGCCAUGUACUUUGGCACAAGACUUGUACACAAGGAGAGCGGUUUUAAAGUCCAUCCCGUGACCAACAGGAAGCAAGUGACCUAAGCACUGGACUAAUAUGGUCCUAUUUCCCGGUUCUAGUCAGGACUCGAGCAGCAGCAUUCUGUAUGUACUGCAGCUGCUUUAGAGGGCCCAGUGAGAAUGCUAUUACAGUACUGCUGGAGACAAAGGCAUGGACUAGUCUUCCUAAGUCUGAUUUAGACAUUAUUCCUCUGAUUUUGGCAAUGUUUUAACUAGCAAAAAGCUGCAGGUGUUAUUGAUUUAUUGUGACGGUUAAAGUUUAGGUCUGAGUCCAUUGUUACCCCUAGAUUUUAUUUUAUUUUUAUUUUUAUUAAGGAUCCCCAUUAGCUGGUUGCCUCAACAACCCACUAGUCUUCCUGGGGUCCACAAUUCAAUACAAUUACAAGUAAAAGCAUGUAAUUAUAACUACACAAUACAGAAAAAAAUAAAAGUAUCAAUAAGAAAACAAGCAAACAAUUUACAGUCACAGAAUAAUAAUUAAUAUAACUACACAAUAUAAAACCAAACAAAUCAUCAAAGGGCAAACUAAUUUAAAGACUCAGAUAAAAUAUUACUCUCUUUUUAAAAACGUGUUCACUUUCAAUGCCGGAUUAGAUUUUUAACCUUUCAGGGAGAGGGUCUCAAGGGGACUAUCAGUAGUUUCUCUUUGCCACAGACAAGUUAAAGAAAAUAGUUUUGCAUCCACACACUGAUCUGUUCAUGCACUAGCUCCAGUAAAUGAGCAGUAUCACCUAUGUCAGUUUACACAGGUGCAGUUAUCAAUCACGGUUUUACUAUAACCUUAAUUUGAAAUUCUGAUGCUAACUGUCUGGAGUUUUAUUGCAAUAUUUCAUAAAUAUUGUUACGUCCCCAGGCACACAGUGCCAAUGUUUCUUGGGUUGUCCGUCGUAAGCUUUUGUUCCUGCUCAGAGACAAAUUAAAUUAGCCCUGAUGUGCGAGGAAGUUGGACAAAGUUGCUUAAAUGGCGGCUAACAUCAAAUCCUGGAAGGUCUGAUUAUUCACGUUAAAAAACCUCUAAAAGCUUAGUGGCCACAUGCGUGGACAGCACCUUUUUAGGUCUUAUUUCCAAACUUGUGUACACUACUGAAUUGGGGUCUUAUGGCCACUUAUGUGGACACUUAUACUGCCAUAUGGUGGUGUAAGAAGAGUAUAACAUACAAUGGAAUUUGGGGAAAAAAAUUGUAAAAAUAAGAAUUAGCAUGUCACUAAACAUGAAGUACACGUUUGUGUACUUAUGGACUAAGUACAUCAUAUAAAAAAGAUGAUUCUUAGUUUUUAUUCUAAUUAGGGUCCAAUAAGCCCAAAUAGCAAAGAGAAAUAAUAAAAAAAAGCAUGUAAACAAACCGCUUAAGAGGUUUUAAACCAGAUUCAUUUCAGUUUUGUGUUUGUGUUUCUUGUCCUUCAUUUCUACCACAAAUAUUUUUUUUGUGAUUAGUUAAAAAUUACGUCACGUGACGGUUUGAGGGUUGAAGAGAUAUUAUUUCAUCCUAAAUUUAAAAAAAAAAGAAGAAGUGAGUGAUCAUUGAAAGUCAAUCUGGGGAGUGCAUGAGCAGACGAGUAUGUACAAACUUCAUUUUGUGGACUUGUGAUGUAGAUAGUUGCCAAAGCAGAUAGAUGACAGAUAUUAUUAAUACCUGCACAAAAAAGACUCUGAGACAUAUAUGUGUAUGUAGUAUGAUCAUCUCGACGCGCACGUUUUUUAAUUGGUUCCGAUAUUGCAAACACACAUUUCGGCAGCAAUGUUCCAGUUGCUUCACUUUGCGAUUAUUGUUGUUGAUGUCGGAAUGAUAUGAGCUUUUUCUAUCAUCCUGCCUUGUAUUUUAUUUUAUUUUUUUGUAUGAUUAAAAAUGGUGUGUUCAUUUUUAUUGUUCAUGAAACAAAUGUGGUUUGUGGUUCUUUGCAGUGCCGUGCUGCUUCACACAAUGCCGAUAUUUAUAUUGUAGCUGCUGUAUGUUAGAGCUGUAACCCAACACUUGAAAUGUCAUAAAAUAGGCCAUAAACAGCCUUUGAAGUCCCUAAGUGGAA